CGUUAAUGUAUAACCAUUCAGUCGCUCCUAAGAUUCGGCCAUGGAAAUAAUUAGUAUUGCCUGCUAAAAAAGAUUUUUGUAUACAAUUUAAACAAUAAAUUGAAAUUGACAGUACGAAUUUGGUAUAGAAGAGUCGACGGUAUUUGUUUAAGGGAAGAUAUCAUAUAAAACAAACCUGAAAAUUCUAGGAAAACUGACUCGCGUGGUAAAUAUGCGGCCAUGUAAUGCACGUACGUUAAAUAUCUUGACGUAGACUUCCUUCAGCACAUGUGGUAUGUAUUGUGAUCAUAACAAAGUGUCCACGGCAUUUAACAGCGCGAUAUAGUCUGGGAGUGGACGUGCAGUAUUAGAACUGGUGAAGCGGACACUUUGUAACCAUGAAUGAAAACAUGUUGUGCCUUAUGUUUUUCUUUAUUAUACCAAUGACAAAGGGAACGAUUCCAGGAACAUUCUUUUGGAAGCCGCGACUGGGUAUCGAUUUGAAUAUACCGCCCACAGAAAAAAUGUCUUCCGAUGUCCAUUUCCCAACAAAGGAAAACAUAAGGGAAGGUCUGGUGGUGCUGGUUGAUGGCUACCAGGUUGGCAUGACCGUGAUAGCGUUCGCGGCCGGUAUUGGCAGCGUAGAACCUUUCAUUCACUUGAACCCGCUCUCAGCCUAUUAUUAUACCAACGCGUACAGAUGGACAUUAAGAUACGUCAGCAUGAUACCAUUCUGGAUGAGCGGACACUGGGGGAAUUACUGUGAAUCACAUAAAGUAUGGAUGCGUCGGUUCUAUUACAUGGACCAAUUCAUCCCGCCGUGGCUGAGGAAUCUAUUCCCUUAUGUGGACAAAAAGGAGUGGAAGAAGGAAGAGAAGGAGUUUCAAAGGUUUAAAAGUACGCGGAGUCGGCUUUCGGCAAACAUUACCGAUUCCCAACAAAAAAAUUCAAAGACUUCGCAUCGGAACUAACCAAAGAAACAGUGGAAGGACUGGAUGCAUCCUCCCAUUCAAUGAGCUAAAUACACGUAAAUCGUGAGAGUUUUGAGGGUUGAAUUAAAAUAUAAGUCAAAGUAGGAAAUUUAUUUCAGUUACAAUGUCACAUUGAUCAUGAAUGAAAUCUUUGGUUUUAUCCUAUUAUAUUAGUAACAUAUUGAUUAUUGAGUACAAAAGUGUUUGAACAUAAUGUAACUACUUGCUAAUCACAUGUCAAUAAACUAUAAUUAUUUUAA
Molecule: RNA transcript, 1210 nt
Organism: Manduca sexta (tobacco hornworm)
Lineage: Eukaryota; Metazoa; Arthropoda; Insecta; Lepidoptera; Sphingidae
Exons: 4
Source: RefSeq, a predicted model, not a curated record